GCUCGAAGUGCGGGUAUCGACAGGAUAGAUACCUGGUAGUCCGCACGGUAAACGAUGGAUGCCCGCUGUUGCGAUAUACUGUGAGCGGCCAAGAGAAAUCGUUAAGCAUCCCACCUGGGGAGUACGCCGGCAACGGUGAAACUCAAAGGAAUUGACGGGGGCCCGCACAAGCGGAGGAACAUGUGGUUUAAUUCGAUGAUACGCGAGGAACCUUACCCGGGCUUGAACUGCCAGCGAACGAUUCAGAGAUGAUGAGGUCCUUCGGGACGCUGGUGGAGGUGCUGCAUGGUUGUCGUCAGCUCGUGCCGUGAGGUGUCGGCUUAAGUGCCAUAACGAGCGCAACCCUUUUCUUUAGUUGCCAUCAGGUAAUGCUGGGCACUCUGGAGAUACUGCCACCGUAAGGUGUGAGGAAGGUGGGGAUGACGUCAAAUCAGCACGGCCCUUACGUCCGGGGCUACACACGUGUUACAAUGGGGGGUACAGAGAGUCGGAUCAACGCAAGUUGGUUCUAAUCCUAAAAGCCUUCCUCAGUUCGGAUUGGGGUCUGCAACCCGACCCCAUGAAGCUGGAUUCGCUAGUAAUCGCGCAUCAGCCAUGGCGCGGUGAAUACGUUCCCGGGCCUUGUACACACCGCCCGUCAAGCCAUGAAAGCCGGGGGCGCUUGAAGUCCGUGACCGCAAGGAUCGGCCUAGAGCGAAACUGGUAAUUGGGGCUAAGUCGUAACAAGGUAGCCGUA
Molecule: ribosomal RNA, 736 nt
Filed under: uncultured bacterium
Lineage: Bacteria
Description: bacterial SSU rRNA
Rfam family: Bacterial small subunit ribosomal RNA
Source: RNAcentral